ACUCGAGUGGCGAACGGGUGAGUAACACGUGGGUGAUCUGCCCUGCACUUCGGGAUAAGCCUGGGAAACUGGGUCUAAUACCGGAUAGGAGCCAUUUUUAGUGUGAUGGUUGGAAAGUUUUUCGGUGUAGGAUGAGCUCGCGGCCUAUCAGCUUGUUGGUGGGGUAAUGGCCUACCAAGGCGGCGACGGGUAGCCGGCCUGAGAGGGUGGACGGCCACAUUGGGACUGAGGUACGGCCCAG
Molecule: ribosomal RNA, 241 nt
Filed under: uncultured Actinomycetales bacterium
Lineage: Bacteria; Bacillati; Actinomycetota; Actinomycetes; Actinomycetales
Description: partial 16S ribosomal RNA
Rfam family: Bacterial small subunit ribosomal RNA
Source: RNAcentral